This 516-nucleotide ribosomal RNA is filed under the name uncultured bacterium. RNAcentral describes it as "partial 16S ribosomal RNA". It matches the Rfam family "Bacterial small subunit ribosomal RNA", at positions 29 to 523 of the family's 1533-position model. The record is from RNAcentral.
AACGAACGCUGGCGGCGUGCCUAACACAUGCAACUCGAACGGAAUAAGGGGCUUGCUCCUUAUUUAGUGUCGCACGGGUGAGUAACGCGUAGAUAAUCUGCCUGAUGAUCUGGGAUAACAUUUCGAAAGAGGUGCUAAUACCGGAUAAGCCCACGACAGCCUUGGUCGACGCGGGAAAAGGGGGGGCACAUUUGGCCCUCUGUCACCAGCUGAGUCGGCGUACCAUUAGCUAGUUGGUGGGGUAAAGGCCUACCAAGGCUACGGUGGUUAGCUGGUCUGAGAGGAUGAUCAGCGACACUGGAACUGAGACACGGUCCAGACUCCUACGGGAGGCAGCAGUGGGGAAUUUUGGGCAAUGGGCGAAAGCCUGACGGAGCAACGCCGCGUGAGUGAUGAAGGCUUUCGGGUCGUAAAGCUCUGUCAAUGGGAAAGAAGUGUAUUGUAGCUAAUAUCUGCGAUACUUGACGGUACCCAUAAAGGAAGCACCGGCUAACUCCGUGCCAGCAGCCGCCGUAA